AUUGAACGCUGGCGGCAGGCCUAACACAUGCAAGUCGAGCGGAUGAGGGGAGCUUGCUCCUGGAUUCAGCGGCGGACGGGUGAGUAAUGCCUAGGAAUCUGCCUGGUAGUGGGGGAUAACGUCCGGAAACGGGCGCUAAUACCGCAUACGUCCUGAGGGAGAAAGUGGGGGAUCUUCGGACCUCACGCUAUCAGAUGAGCCUAGGUCGGAUUAGCUAGUUGGUGGGGUAAAGGCCUACCAAGGCGACGAUCCGUAACUGGUCUGAGAGGAUGAUCAGUCACACUGGAACUGAGACACGGUCCAGACUCCUACGGGAGGCAGCAGUGGGGAAUAUUGGACAAUGGGCGAAAGCCUGAUCCAGCCAUGCCGCGUGUGUGAAGAAGGUCUUCGGAUUGUAAAGCACUUUAAGUUGGGAGGAAGGGCAGUAAGUUAAUACCUUGCUGUUCUGACGUUACCAACAGAAUAAGCACCGGCUAACUUCGUG
RNAcentral lists this ribosomal RNA (484 nucleotides) under uncultured bacterium. Its description in RNAcentral is "partial 16S ribosomal RNA". It matches the Rfam family "Bacterial small subunit ribosomal RNA", at positions 30 to 507 of the family's 1533-position model. The record is from RNAcentral.